GGUUCGGUGGUGUAGUUGGUUAUCACGUCACGCUCACACCGUGGAGGUCCCGAGUUCGAACCUCGGCCGAAUCA
RNAcentral lists this transfer RNA (74 nucleotides) under Blastobotrys adeninivorans. RNAcentral's name for it is "tRNA Val (CAC) score". Lineage: Eukaryota; Fungi; Ascomycota; Dipodascomycetes; Dipodascales; Trichomonascaceae. The record is from RNAcentral.